CUUCCAGGUCCACCCCCGAGACCUGCCUGCCCAGCCUCCAUGCCCCCCACCAAGGACAACCUUGUCCCCAGCUACCCUGCAGGCUCCCCCAGCGUGGCGGCUGCCUGUAGCCAGGCAGAGUGCAUGGGCGGGAGCCAGGCUAUCACCUCACCACUGCCUGCCAACACGCCAUCCCCGUCCUUCAGCAAGCUGCCGCCUUCCAAGGCCAGCAAGUCAUCCAAAGGCAAGGACGGGGUGGAGGUGGAGGCCCCUUCUCGAAAGCGGAAGUUAUCCCCUGGCCCCACCACUCUUAAACGGACCUGCAUCCUGGAGCCCACUGGAAAAGGGAAACCCUCUGGCUGUAGGGGCCUCUCGGCCAAAACUAAAACAGCCCUGAGCAUGGGGCUUAAUGGGACAAUGGGGCCAAGAGUGAAGCGGGCAGGGCCCCUGGACUGUCGUGGCUCCCCUCAUCAGCUCCCCACACCAGUCAAGGCUUCUCAGCUGGAGAACCAGGGAGCAGCCGGACACCCAGCCAAGGCCCUGCCAACCAACUGCCUCUCUGAGGAGGAGGUGGCCAAGAAGCGGAAAAACCUGGCCACUUAUUGCCGGCCAGUGAAGGCCAAGCACUGUCAGGCUGGUGCCCCUGCUGAUGUGGCCUGCUCUGUGCGCCGCAAGAAGCCAGGCCCGGCCCUGGCCUUUGAGGAGAAGUGCUCUACACUGAAGGUACUGGAGCUACCUCUGUUCCCUGAAGGAAAGGGAGUUUGAGUCCCUGGGUCACAGCCUAACAUGCCGAGCAGCAAGUCAAAAGCCCAUUAACGAGAAAGUGCCUGCCCACUGCAACGGAGCCGCCAGCACCUCCUCCCCUCCAGAUCCGGGCCCCAGGCUGCUGCCGCUUUUUAUAACUUUAUAUUAUUUUUUUUAAGAAAAAAAGCUCUUUAAAAUACCUCAA
This 928-nucleotide small RNA is filed under the name Pan troglodytes (chimpanzee). RNAcentral's name for it is "processed transcript". Lineage: Eukaryota; Metazoa; Chordata; Mammalia; Primates; Hominidae. The record is from RNAcentral.